AAGCAUGUAUGAACAUUGGAAAAGAGUUUCCAUAGGAUUCACAAGUGAACUCAAAUUGAGGUAUUCUGGCAUAUGACUGAUGUUGGGAUUUGGCGACUUCUCUAUGACCUCCAUCCUAUCAGAACUCAUGAUAGAAGAACUAAAUCAUACGAUAAUUGCACCUAGGGGUUCAAUAUGUUUAUUUUUCUGGGUUGUCACUA
Molecule: long non-coding RNA, 200 nt
Filed under: Elaeis guineensis (African oil palm)
Lineage: Eukaryota; Viridiplantae; Streptophyta; Magnoliopsida; Arecales; Arecaceae
Description: long non-coding RNA (EGUI_LNC045432)
Source: RNAcentral